This 497-nucleotide ribosomal RNA is filed under the name uncultured bacterium. RNAcentral's name for it is "partial 16S ribosomal RNA". It matches the Rfam family "Bacterial small subunit ribosomal RNA", at positions 28 to 507 of the family's 1533-position model. The record is from RNAcentral.
GAUGAACGCUGGCGGCGUGCCUAAUACAUGCAAGUCGAGCGAACAGAUGAGGAGCUUGCUCCUCUGACGUUAGCGGCGGACGGGUGAGUAACACGUGGAUAACCUACCUAUCAGACUGGGAUAACUUCGGGAAACCGGAGCUAAUACCGGAUAAUAUAUUGAACCGCAUGGUUCAAUAGUUAAAUACGGUUUUGCUGUCACUUAUAGAUUGAUCCACGCCGCAUUAGUUGGUUGGUAAGGUAACGGCUUACCAAGGCAACGAUGCGUAGCCGACCUGAGAGGGUGGUCGGAAACACGGGAAGAGAGACACGGUACAGACUCCUACGGGAGGACGCAGUAGGGAAUCUUACGCAAGGGGCGAAAGCCUGACGGAGCAAAGCCGCGGGAGUGAUGAAGGUCUUAGGAUCGUAAAACUCUGUUAUUAGGGAAGAACAAAUGUGUAAGUAACUAUGAACGUCUUGACGGUACCUAAUCAGAAAGCCACGGCUAACUACGUG